GGUUUUGACUCAGUGGUAAAGUGCUUGCCUAGCACACAUGAGGCACUGGGUUCAAUCCCCAGCACCA
RNAcentral lists this transfer RNA (67 nucleotides) under Marmota monax (woodchuck). RNAcentral's name for it is "tRNA.Ala". Lineage: Eukaryota; Metazoa; Chordata; Mammalia; Rodentia; Sciuridae. The record is from RNAcentral.